AGAAAACCACUGCUGUUGCUAACUGUUCAGAAAGUUUGGCGACUCUUGAAGAAAUAUUACACCAUGGUCGAGAAAAUAAGAAACACACGAAUGCUGAGUUCAAUUGUCGUGUAGUGAUUAAAGGCGUACGUAAUAGCGAAGAGUGGUUCAGACUUAUGUGUGGAGGAGGAAAAUGCAUGAAAGAUGUAUCACGUGAUCACGGGGAGCUGUGGUGUGCUGGCUGUGAAAACCCAGUUAUGUUUCCCCGAGCAAGGUUCCAUCUUGAACUUGAUGUGCUCGAUUCCACGGCAAAUGCGGUCAUCGUGUGCUUCGAUGACACUGCACAGAUUCUAACAAGCACCACUGCUCAGUCUAUACUCAAUGUGGAAUCGGGUCUCUCGCAUAUCUACACCGUUUAUUCCGAAAGCAUCCAAGAUAGCUUCACUCCAGUCAUGAUACAGAACUCUA
Molecule: long non-coding RNA, 447 nt
Organism: Helianthus annuus (common sunflower)
Lineage: Eukaryota; Viridiplantae; Streptophyta; Magnoliopsida; Asterales; Asteraceae
Exons: 3
Source: RefSeq, a predicted model, not a curated record